UAGGGAAUAUUGGGCAAUGGAGGCAACUCUGACCCAGCCAUGCCGCGUGAAGGAUGACUGUCCUAUGGAUUGUAAACUUCUUUUGUUAGGGACGAAACCCUUGGAUUCAUCCGAGGCUGACGGUACCUAAAGAAUAAGCACCGGCUAACUCCGUGCCAGCAGCCGCGGUAAUACGGAGGGUGCAAGCGUUAUCCGGAUUCACUGGGUUUAAAGGGUGCGUAGGUGGAUCAGUAAGUCAGUGGUGAAAGCCCCGGGCUCAACUUGGGAAUUGCCAUUGAUACUGCUGGUCUUGAGUUCGGUUGAGGUAGGCGGAAUAAGUCAUGUAGCGGUGAAAUGCUUAGAUAUGACUUAGAACACCGAUUGCGAAGGCAGCUUACCAAGCCGACACUGACACUGAGGCACGAAAGCGUGGGGAUCAAACAGG
This 424-nucleotide ribosomal RNA is filed under the name uncultured bacterium. RNAcentral's name for it is "bacterial SSU rRNA". It matches the Rfam family "Bacterial small subunit ribosomal RNA", at positions 355 to 776 of the family's 1533-position model. The record is from RNAcentral.